RNAcentral lists this non-coding RNA (30 nucleotides) under Mus musculus (house mouse). The record is from RNAcentral. Lineage: Eukaryota; Metazoa; Chordata; Mammalia; Rodentia; Muridae.
UGGGAACGUUAGCAAGAGACACAGAUGGUA